ACCUACUGUUUAAUUUUGAGGGUUCGUUUUUACGAAUACUCAAAAUUAGCACUUUAAGCAACGGGAUUUAUCCGUUGGCGCCGUGCUUUAGCACUUUUAGCAACAGAAUAAACUGAACGCAUGUGAAGUUUGUUUGUUGGCGCUGUGCGUUAGCACUUUAAGUAACGGAAUUUAUUCGUUGGCGCCGUGCGUUAGCACUUUGAAAACUGCAUAUAUAUUUAGUGAUAUGACAUCUAAUUUGUAAUAUAUAAAGCUGAUAACUUUUUAAAAUUAUCGAAGUUGAUAGCUUCUAAUCUAUCAAACCUUUUUAGCUGGUCAA
Molecule: unclassified non-coding RNA, 319 nt
Filed under: Clostridioides difficile
Lineage: Bacteria; Bacillati; Bacillota; Clostridia; Peptostreptococcales; Peptostreptococcaceae
Description: 16S-23S ribosomal RNA intergenic spacer (ISR)
Source: RNAcentral